Molecule: ribosomal RNA, 253 nt
Filed under: uncultured bacterium
Lineage: Bacteria
Description: partial 16S ribosomal RNA
Rfam family: Bacterial small subunit ribosomal RNA
Source: RNAcentral
UACGUAGGGUGCGAGCGUUGUCCGGAAUUAUUGGGCGUAAAGAGCUCGUAGGCGGUCUGUCGCGUCUGCUGUGAAAACCCGAGGCUCAACCUCGGGCCUGCAGUGGGUACGGGCAGACUAGAGUGCGGUAGGGGAGAAUGGAAUUCCUGGUGUAGCGGUGGAAUGCGCAGAUAUCAGGAGGAACGCCGAUGGCGAAGGCAGUUCUCUGGGCCGUAACUGACGCUGAGGAGCGAAAGCAUGGGGAGCGAACAGG